UGUAGCUCAAUGAUAGAGCACUUGCCUGGCAUGCACAAGGCCCUGGGUUCCAUCCCCAGCA
Molecule: transfer RNA, 61 nt
Filed under: Ictidomys tridecemlineatus (thirteen-lined ground squirrel)
Lineage: Eukaryota; Metazoa; Chordata; Mammalia; Rodentia; Sciuridae
Description: Spermophilus tridecemlineatus (thirteen-lined ground squirrel) tRNA
Rfam family: tRNA
About the family: Transfer RNA (tRNA) molecules are approximately 80 nucleotides in length. Their secondary structure includes four short double-helical elements and three loops (D, anti-codon, and T loops).
Source: Rfam by way of RNAcentral